GUUUUCAUCGGUAUUGUUUUUAGAAGAAAGAAACUGCUGGCAUUGCAGAAGCGGAGCAGGUACCUCCUUGCUCUCCUGAGCCGGAUAAAGUAGAUGAAAGAUCUAUGUGGAUUGAUGUAAGAUCUCUGUUCAAGAUUCUAUAACAAAAGCUCGUGGUCUCAAGCUCCCUCCCUUGCUCUGGCCCUAUGGAGUUGGCUAUUAGUUUUUUUGUUUGUUUGUUUUGUUUUGUUUUCUGUUUUAUAUGCUCUGGAUUCUCUAGGACAUGGAGGCCUGUGUUUGGGAGACUACCAUGGCAUCACUGUGAGAGAGACCUUGCAAACAAGGUUCGGUUCAGAUGGUUUCCAGAUUCAGACAAAUAUGAGCUGCUACCCCUGAAAGAUGUGGAGCAGAAGGAAUGGUCAUGACCAACAUCUCACAAUGAAUAUAUUCAAAUGACAAAUAACUCGCUAGUUCACAGUCCAGGUGGAAAUUUACCCAAUGUGGACUCCACUGAAGGAAAACCUGGUCAGCUAAGAUACACUCAUGUUUGCUCUUCUUAUCUGAAAUUAUGGAGUGGUGGACAGACUGUUCUUGAGUGAGGCAAGGAGCAGGCAGCUAGAAGGAUGGUUACUUUUAGAGGAAAGGGUAGAAAUACUGAAAUAUCACCUGAUGAAUGUUACCGAGAGAACCUAGAAAAGGAGAUGGAGAGAGGGCUGGUCUAGUCUUUAGCUUAAAUAGUCUCCAUUUGCUACUGCCCUCUCUUAUUUUUCCUUUGGUUUUCUAUUAAAUGAUUGAUUCUGA
This is a long non-coding RNA of Mesocricetus auratus (golden hamster), 780 nucleotides long. RefSeq lists it as uncharacterized. The record is from RefSeq and is a predicted model, not a curated record. NCBI's taxonomy places the organism in Eukaryota, Metazoa, Chordata, Mammalia, Rodentia, Cricetidae. The transcript is spliced from 2 exons.